UACAGAGGUCCCAAGCGUUGUUCGGAUUCACUGGGCGUAAAGGGUGCGUAGGCGGUUGGGUAAGUCUGACGUGAAAUCUCCAAGCUUAACUUGGAAACUGCGUUGGAUACUAUCCGGCUUGAGGAAUGGAGGGGAGACUGGAAUACUUGGUGUAGCAGUGAAAUGCGUAGAUAUCAAGUGGAACACCAGUGGCGAAGGCGAGUCUCUGGACAUUUCCUGACGCUGAGGCACGAAAGCCAGGGGAG
Molecule: ribosomal RNA, 245 nt
Filed under: uncultured bacterium
Lineage: Bacteria
Description: partial 16S ribosomal RNA
Rfam family: Bacterial small subunit ribosomal RNA
Source: RNAcentral